RNAcentral lists this ribosomal RNA (652 nucleotides) under uncultured archaeon. RNAcentral's name for it is "bacterial SSU rRNA". It matches the Rfam family "Archaeal small subunit ribosomal RNA", at positions 1 to 653 of the family's 1478-position model. The record is from RNAcentral.
GCCCUUUUCCGGUUGAUCCUGCCGGAGGCUAUUGCUAUCGGUGUCCGAUUUAGCCAUGCGAGUUGUACGUAUAACGUAGCAAACUGCUCAGUAACACGUGGCCAAACUGCCCUAUGGACUAGGAUAGCCUCGGGAAACUGAGGCUAAUCCUGGAUAGCACAUUCAUCUUGGAAUUGGAGAAUGUGUGAAACGCUCCGGCGCCAUAGGAUGUGGCUGCGGCCGAUUAGGUAGACGGUGGGGUAACGGCCCACCGUGCCGAUAAUCGGUACGGGUCAUGAGAGUGAGAGCCCGGAGACGGACUCUGAGACACGAGUCCGGGCCCUACGGGGCGCAGCAGGCGCGAAACCUUUACACUGCACGCCAGUGCGAUAGGGGGACACCGAGUGCGAGGGCAUAGAGCCCUCGCUUUUGUAGACCGUAAGGAGGUCUACGAAUAAGGGCUGGGCAAGACCGGUGCCAGCCGCCGCGGUAACACCGGCAGCCCAAGUGAUGGCCGAUAUUAUUGGGCCUAAAGCGUCCGUAGCUGGCCGCACAAGUUCGUCGGGAAAUCCACUCGCUUAACGAGUGGGCGUCCGGCGAAAACUGUGUGGCUUGGGACCGGAAGAUCCAAGGGGUACGUCCGGGGUAGGAGUGAAAUCCCGUAAUCCUGGAC